Molecule: ribosomal RNA, 250 nt
Filed under: uncultured bacterium
Lineage: Bacteria
Description: partial 16S ribosomal RNA
Rfam family: Bacterial small subunit ribosomal RNA
Source: RNAcentral
GACGUAGGAUGCAAGCGUUGUCCGGAUUUAUUGGGCGUAAAGAGUUCGUAGGUGGUUUGUUAAGUCUGAUGUUAAAGACCGAGGCUCAACUUCGGAAAUGCAUUGGAUACUGGCAGACUGGAGUAUGGUAGAGGCAAGUGGAAUUCCCAGUGUAGCGGUGAAAUGCGUAGAUAUUGGGAAGAACACCCGUGGCGCAAGCGACUUGCUGGGCCAUAACUGACACUGAGGAACGAAAGCCAGGGGAGCGAAU